RNAcentral lists this ribosomal RNA (494 nucleotides) under uncultured bacterium. RNAcentral describes it as "partial 16S ribosomal RNA". It matches the Rfam family "Bacterial small subunit ribosomal RNA", at positions 28 to 507 of the family's 1533-position model. The record is from RNAcentral.
GACGAACGCUGGCGGCGUGCUUAACACAUGCAAGUCGAACGGUGAAGCGCCUUCCUUUUUUGUGGGUGUGGAUGAGUGGCGAACGGGUGAGUAACACGUGAGUAACCUGCCCCCUUCUUCUGGAUAACCGCAUGAAAGUGUGGCUAAUACGGGAUAUUCUGGGUCUGUCGCAUGAUGGGUCUGGGAAAGAUAUUGUUUCGGUGGGGGAUGGGCUCGCGGCCUAUCAGCUUGUUGGUGGGGUGAUGGCCUACCAAGGCGGUGACGGGUAGCCGGCCUGAGAGGGUGGACGGUCACACUGGGACUGAGACACGGCCCAGACUCCUACGGGAGGCAGCAGUGGGGAAUAUUGCACAAUGGGCGCAAGCCUGAUGCAGCGACGCCGCGGGAGGGAUGGAGGCCUUCGGGUUGUGAACCUCUUUCGCCAGUGAAGCAGGCCUGCCUCGUUUGUGGGUGGGUUGACGGUAGCUGGAUAAGAAGCGCCGGCUAACUACGUG